GCCAGUGUGCCAUAGUGGUUAGCGUGUUGGACUAUGACCUGGGAGACCGGGGUUUGAAUCCCCGCUCAGCCA
Non-coding RNA from Podarcis lilfordi (Lilford's wall lizard), 72 nucleotides. The record is from the annotation of a GenBank genome assembly. NCBI's taxonomy places the organism in Eukaryota, Metazoa, Chordata, Lepidosauria, Squamata, Lacertidae.